CAGUUCGGUCCCUAUCCGUCGUGGGCGUAGGAAAUUUGAGAGGAGCUGUCCUUAGUACGAGAGGACCGGGAUGGACAUACCUCUGGUGUACCAGUUGUCGUGCCAACGGCAUAGCUGGGUAGCUAUGUGUGGACGGGAUAAGUGCUGAAAGCAUCUAAGCAUGAAGCCCCCCUCAAGAUGAGAUUUCCCAACUUCGGUUAUAAGAUCCCUCAAAGAUGAUGAGGUUAAUAGGUUCGAGGUGGAAGCAUGGUGACAUGUGGAGCUGACGAAUACUAAUCGAUCGAAGACUUAAUCAAAA
This 298-nucleotide ribosomal RNA is filed under the name Staphylococcus aureus. Its description in RNAcentral is "partial 23S ribosomal RNA". It matches the Rfam family "Bacterial large subunit ribosomal RNA", at positions 2627 to 2925 of the family's 2925-position model. The record is from RNAcentral. Lineage: Bacteria; Bacillati; Bacillota; Bacilli; Caryophanales; Staphylococcaceae.